RNAcentral lists this unclassified non-coding RNA (272 nucleotides) under uncultured fungus. RNAcentral's name for it is "partial contains 5.8S ribosomal RNA, internal transcribed spacer 2, and large subunit ribosomal RNA". The stretch from base 1 to 52 matches the Rfam family "5.8S ribosomal RNA", at positions 103 to 154 of the family's 154-position model. The record is from RNAcentral. Lineage: Eukaryota; Fungi.
AACGCACAUUGCGCCCGCCAGUAUUCUGGCGGGCAUGCCUGUUCGAGCGUCAUUUCAACCCUCAAGCCCCAGCGGCUUGGUGUUGGGGACCGGCGAUGGUGCUUGCUCCGGCGAGCGCGCGCCGCCCCCGAAAUGAAUUGGCGGUCUCGUCGCGGCCUCCUCUGCGUAGUAGCACAACCUCGCAACAGGAGCGCGGCGCGGCCACUGCCGUAAAACGCCCCAACUUCUCAAGAGUUGACCUCGAAUCAGGUAGGAAUACCCGCUGAACUUAA